Molecule: ribosomal RNA, 586 nt
Filed under: uncultured bacterium
Lineage: Bacteria
Description: bacterial SSU rRNA
Rfam family: Bacterial small subunit ribosomal RNA
Source: RNAcentral
CCUACGGGAGGCAGCAGUGGGGAAUUUUGGACAAUGGGCGCAAGCCUGAUCCAGCAAUGCCGCGUGCAGGAUGAAGGCCCUCGGGUUGUAAACUGCUUUUGUACGGAGCGAAACGGUCUCUUCUAAUACAGGGGGCUAAUGACGGUACCGUAAGAAUAAGCACCGGCUAACUACGUGCCAGCAGCCGCGGUAAUACGUAGGGUGCAAGCGUUAAUCGGAAUUACUGGGCGUAAAGCGUGCGCAGGCGGUUUUGUAAGACAGAUGUGAAAUCCCCGGGCUCAACCUGGGACCUGCAUUUGUGACUGCAAGGCUGGAGUACGGUAGAGGGGGAUGGAAUUCCGCGUGUAGCAGUGGAAUGCGUAGAUAUGCGGAGGAACACCGAUGGCGAAGGCAAUCCCCUGGACCUGUACUGACGCUCAUGCACGAAAGCGUGGGGAGCAAACAGGAUUAGAUACCCUGGUAGUCCACGCCCUAAACGAUGUCAACUGGUUGUUGGGUCUUUACUGACUCAGUAACGAAGCUAACGCGUGAAGUUGACCGCCUGGGGAGUACGGCCGCAAGGUUGAAACUCAAAUUGAAUUGACGG